UAAUAUUUAUCAAAGGGUAAAGGCGCUCAUCCGCAGUUUGGAUCAGAGCCUCAAAAUCUAAAUUCAUGCCACGAAUAGCGUUUUUCAGAUGUUGACUUCCUAGGAUCCUAUUCUUUUAAACCUGAUUCAAUUUUUGUGCCUAUCAAGACAGACACCAAAGAUUUUAUUUAGGAGGAAAUAUGUGGUAUUCUUUUUAAACUUUUCCAGAGACAUCACUUAUGUGAUCUUACUUGGUUUCUACAACAUUCCCAGCCCCAGGAGGCAGGCAGAGUGAUAUUGCCAAUCACAUUUUUGUAGACACAGGCUCAGAGAAGUGACAUUACCUGCUAGAUGUCACACAGCCCAUCUGGGACCCCAGGGCUCAAGCCCCUGCCCUCUGGCCCUGAGUCCUGCCUCUGUCUGUGGACUCCCAGCUCUUGCUGUUGCUAGAGUGUGCUGCUCCUUUACUUGGCAUGUCCACAUUCCUGGGUUGUCCAGGAACGCACAUUCUUGGAGAGGAAGGGGAAUAGAUAUUUUAGCCACAUACAACACUCUGAGCUUGCCAGGCACCUAAUAGGGACACUCAAUAAAUAUUAAUUAAAGAAUGCAGCCACAUUGGCUUAUGUGCUGGCCAGAUCCUUUAAAGUGUCAAGAAUAUUCCUUGAGAGACUGAGUGUUAGGCUGGAAGGCUGUGUGGAGGCGGAGAGGACAGAAAAGUCCUGGAGUAAUGGAGUGCAUUCUCUUGGAAGAUGAAAAUAUCCACCCGCCCCAGGGGGCCCCUAUCUGUCACUGUCACCAGGAGAGAAGGAGGAAGGGAACAUAUGUCUGUUGAGUGCCUCUGGGACCUGUAUUUUUCUUGCUGGGGUGGGAUUUAUUCCGCUUCUCCCGUACUCCUGCAUCUCCAAGGCCAGUGGAGGACACCAGGGGACAGCUGGCUGAGAUCAAGGAUUAACGUCAAGGAAUUUCUUCAUCGUCUCCAUCAUCAAAUUCUACUUAACAUGCUCUGCCCAUUCCAAGAAAAAAAGAGGAAUGAAUGUGAACUCUUUUUGUACAUACAGCCAUUUACUCAAAAAAUGCAGCCGGCAGAGAUUCCACAGCUGGGAAGCUGACUGGUUGCAGUAGAGAAGCUGGCCAAAAUCCACCAAGAUGGCGACAAGAGUGACCUCUGGUCAUCCUCACUGUUACACUCCCACCAGCGCCAUGACAGUUUGCAGAUUCCAGGUAAUGUCAGGAAAUUACCCUAUAUGGUCUAAAAAAAGGGGACACAUGAAUAAUCCACGCCUUGUUUAGCAUGUCAUUAAGAAAUAACCAUAAAAAUGGGCAACCAGCAGCCCUUGGGGCUGCUCU
Molecule: long non-coding RNA, 1326 nt
Filed under: Homo sapiens (human)
Lineage: Eukaryota; Metazoa; Chordata; Mammalia; Primates; Hominidae
Description: HSALNT0394258
Source: RNAcentral